RNAcentral lists this ribosomal RNA (485 nucleotides) under uncultured bacterium. RNAcentral's name for it is "bacterial SSU rRNA". It matches the Rfam family "Bacterial small subunit ribosomal RNA", at positions 1 to 507 of the family's 1533-position model. The record is from RNAcentral.
AGUAGUUUGACUCCGUGGCUCAGGACGAACGCUGGCGGCGUGCUUAACACAUGCAAGUCGAACGGUAAGGCCCUUCGGGGUACACGAGUGGCGAACGGGUGAGUAACACGUGGGUGAUCUGCCCUGCACUUCGGGAUAAGCCUGGGAAACUGGGUCUAAUACCGGAUAGGACCAUGGACUUCACGGUUUGUGGUGGAAAGCUUUUGCGGUGUGGGAUGGGCCCGCGGCCUAUCAGCUUGUUGGUGGGGUAAUGGCCUACCAAGGCGACGACGGGUAGCCGGCCUGAGAGGGUGUCCGGCCACACUGGGACUGAGAUACGGCCCAGACUCCUACGGGAGGCAGCAGUGGGGAAUAUUGCACAAUGGGCGCAAGCCUGAUGCAGCGACGCCGCGUGAGGGAUGACGGCCUUCGGGUUGUAAACCUCUUUCAAUAGGGACGAAGCGCAAGUGACGGUACCUAUAGAAGAAGCACCGGCCAACUACGUG